This 801-nucleotide ribosomal RNA is filed under the name uncultured bacterium. RNAcentral describes it as "bacterial SSU rRNA". It matches the Rfam family "Bacterial small subunit ribosomal RNA", at positions 8 to 805 of the family's 1533-position model. The record is from RNAcentral.
AGAGUUUGAUCCUGGCUCAGAUUGAACGCUGGCGGAAUGCUUUACACAUGCAAGUCGAACGAUGAACCUUAGCUUGCUAAGGGGAUUAGUGGCGAACGGGUGAGUAAUAUAUCGGAACGUGCCUUGUAAUGGGGGAUAACUAGUCGAAAGAUUAGCUAAUACCGCAUACGCCCUGAGGGGAAAGUAGGGGAUCUUCGGACCUUACGUUAUAAGAGCGGCCGAUAUCUGAUUAGCUAGUUGGUGGGGUAAUGGCCUACCAAGGCGACGAUCAGUAGCUGGUCUGAGAGGACGACCAGCCACACUGGAACUGAGACACGGUCCAGACUCCUACGGGAGGCAGCAGUGGGGAAUUUUGGACAAUGGGCGCAAGCCUGAUCCAGCCAUUCCGCGUGAGUGAAGAAGGCCUUCGGGUUGUAAAGCUCUUUCGCAAGGGAAGAAAACUUACUUUCUAAUAAAGAGUGAGGCUGACGGUACCUUGAUAAGAAGCACCGGCUAACUACGUGCCAGCAGCCGCGGUAAUACGUAGGGUGCGAGCGUUAAUCGGAAUUACUGGGCGUAAAGCGUGCGCAGGCGGUUUGGCAAGUCAGAUGUGAAAUCCCCGAGCUCAACUUGGGAACUGCGUUUGAAACUGCCAGACUAGAAUAUGUCAGAGGGGGGUAGAAUUCCACGUGUAGCAGUGAAAUGCGUAGAGAUGUGGAGGAAUACCAAUGGCGAAGGCAGCCCCCUGGGAUAAUAUUGACGCUCAUGCACGAAAGCGUGGGGAGCAAACAAGAUUACAUACCCUGGUAGUCCACGCCCUAA